Long non-coding RNA from Spea bombifrons (plains spadefoot toad), 151 nucleotides. RefSeq lists it as uncharacterized. The record is from RefSeq and is a predicted model, not a curated record. Lineage: Eukaryota; Metazoa; Chordata; Amphibia; Anura; Pelobatidae. The transcript is spliced from 2 exons.
AUUGACUACAGAGCUGUGCAAUGACUCCCCAAAUGUAGCUACAGAAGACCAAGGACUGAUUAAGGUAGCAGAAGGUCAUAAGGAUGAGAUUUCCCAAACUGUAUGGAAGUGUACAUUUAUAUUUCUAUAAAAGCAUGAUUUUACUACACUA